RNAcentral lists this ribosomal RNA (322 nucleotides) under uncultured eukaryote. Its description in RNAcentral is "partial 18S ribosomal RNA". It matches the Rfam family "Eukaryotic small subunit ribosomal RNA", at positions 1470 to 1796 of the family's 1831-position model. The record is from RNAcentral.
CCCUUAGAUGUUCUGGGCCGCACGCGUGCUACACUGAGUGGAUCAGCGGGUCAGGUUGCGCGAAAGUGUUUCCUAAUCUUUAAAUCCGCUCGUGAUGGGGAUUGACGGUUGCAAGUUUCCGUCAUGAACGAGGAAUACCUUGUAAGCGCGGGUCAUCAUCCCGCGCUGAAUACGUCCCUGCCCUUUGUACACACCGCCCGUCGCUCCUACCGAUUGAGUGGUCCGGUGAGGCUUUGGGAUCUGAGCGGAAAGAGCGUUUCGCUGUUUCUGCCCGGAAAACUCAGUCGAACCUUAUCAUUUAGAGGAAGGAGAAGUCGUAACA